CCUACGGGCGGCAGCAGUGAGGAAUAUUGGUCAAUGGACGAGAGUCUGAACCAGCCAAGUAGCGUGAAGGAUGACUGCCCUAUGGGUUGUAAACUUCUUUUAUAUGGGAAUAAAAUGUUCCACGUGUGGGAUUUUGUAUGUACCAUAUGAAUAAGGAUCGGCUAACUCCGUGCCAGCAGCCGCGGUAAUACGGAGGAUCCGAGCGUUAUCCGGAUUUAUUGGGUUUAAAGGGAGCGUAGGUGGAUUGUUAAGUCAGUUGUGAAAGUUUGCGGCUCAACCGUAAAAUUGCAGUUGAAACUGGCAGUCUUGAGUACAGUAGAGGUGGGCGGAAUUCGUGGUGUAGCGGUGAAAUGCUUAGAUAUCACGAAGAACUCCGAUUGCGAAGGCAGUUCACUGGACUGAAACUGACACUGAGGCUCGAAAGUGUGGGUAUCAAACAGGAUUAGAUACCCCAGUAGUC
This 460-nucleotide ribosomal RNA is filed under the name uncultured bacterium. Its description in RNAcentral is "partial 16S ribosomal RNA". It matches the Rfam family "Bacterial small subunit ribosomal RNA", at positions 338 to 795 of the family's 1533-position model. The record is from RNAcentral.